AACAAGACCAACCAAAGCAUAAUGGCUAAGUUUAUGUACGCAUUUGUUCUCAUGCUUGUCAUGACUACUGCAAUCCAAUUUGCACAUGGUGAUGGUGAUGGACAGGUUCGUCCUGGAGAGUGCCCGGCAGCUUGCAAACGUCAUUGCUCAACCGGCAAACCCCAAUGGACUUGUUUCUCUUGUGUUAAUUGUUGUUUCGCAUGUAGGUGUAUCCCAGAUGAUGAAACGGAACCAAGUUCAUGCAGAAAAUGUUGGCAAGAAACAUGUUUUAGUCACUAAGAACCACCUUAAUUAUCUUAGGCUUGUAUUUUCAUAAUGUCUUUAAGAGUUUAUUUGCAAAGUAUGCAAAAAUUAUGUGCGAUAUAAAAAGUACAUUGCGC
Lotus japonicus is the source of this 380-nucleotide long non-coding RNA. RefSeq lists it as uncharacterized. The transcript has 3 exons. Lineage: Eukaryota; Viridiplantae; Streptophyta; Magnoliopsida; Fabales; Fabaceae. The record is from RefSeq and is a predicted model, not a curated record.